This 1802-nucleotide small RNA is filed under the name Pan troglodytes (chimpanzee). RNAcentral describes it as "retained intron". The record is from RNAcentral. Lineage: Eukaryota; Metazoa; Chordata; Mammalia; Primates; Hominidae.
UUUUUUUUUUUUUUUUUCCCCGGUAGGUCGCCAGCUGAGGCGGUUUGUAAGUUUUGGGUCUCAGUAUGCUAGAAUUUUGAGGCUCCCUUCUGAUGAAAAUUGAGCUGUCCAUGCAGCCAUGGAACCUGGGUUACAGCAGUGAGGGGGCCACGGCUCAAGAAACUUACACAUGUCCAAAAAUGAUUGAGAUAGAGCAGGCGGAGGCCCAGCUUGCUGAGUUAGACCUGCUAGCCAGUAUGUUCCCUGGUGAGAAUGAGCUCAUAGUGAAUGACCAGCUGGCUGUAGCAGAACUGAAAGAUUGUAUUGAAAAGAAGACAAUGGAGGGGCGAUCUUCAAAAGUCUACUUUACUAUCAAUAUGAACCUGGAUGUAUCUGAUGAAAAAAUGGUAAUUCAGUUUUGCUUUUAGAGGGAUUGAAACAUGUUGAGACUUAAAACAUUGGUUAGUGCACUUUUUCUUCUUCUCUUUAAUCAGGCGAUGUUUUCUUUGGCCUGUAUUCUUCCCUUUAAAUACCCGGCAGUUCUGCCUGAAAUUACUGUCAGAUCAGUAUUAUUGAGUAGAUCCCAGCAGACUCAGCUGAACACAGAUCUGACUGCAUUCCUGCAAAAACAUUGUCAUGGAGAUGUUUGUAUACUGAAUGCCACAGAGUGGGUUAGAGAACACGCCUCUGGCUAUGUCAGCAGAGAUACUUCAUCUUCACCCACCACAGGAAGGACAGUCCAGUCAGUUGACCUCAUCUUCACGAGACUCUGGAUCUACAGCCAUCAUAUCUAUAACAAAUGCAAAAGAAAGAAUAUUCUAGAGUGGUCAAAGGAGCUUUCCCUGUCUGGGUUUAGCAUGCCUGGAAAACCUGGUGUUGUUUGUGUGGAAGGCCCACAAAGUGCCUGUGAAGAAUUCUGGUCAAGACUCAGAAAAUUAAACUGGAAGAGAAUUUUAAUUCGCCAUCGAGAAGACAUUCCUUUUGAUGGUACAAAUGAUGAAAUGGAAAGACAAAGGAAAUUUUCCAUUUUUGAAGAAAAAGUGUUCAGUGUUAAUGGAGCCAGGGGAAACCACAUGGACUUUGGUCAGCUCUAUCAGUUCUUAAACACCAAAGGAUGUGGGGAUGUUUUCCAGAUGUUCUUUGGUGUAGAAGGACAAUGACAUCAAGAGUAGUUGAAAGUAUCUUGCCACUGUUGGCCUUUUGAUUUUUUUUUCCCACUUUUUCUUGAAAGAUUAAGUAAUUUUAUUUUAGUUCCAUUCUAGAAUGUUGGGGAGUGGGGCACAAGAAAAAAUAGUAUAGCUGAAAUGCAUCUGUUAAAAAUGUCAUGAUUGAAAGCAGAACUGAGUUUCAAAUUACAACCUUAAAAUUGUUGUUAGAUAUUUCUUCACAUAUCAGCUGCCCAUUUUGAAAAAGAAAUUAUCCAUAAAGGUAAUGUUGGUGCUCCAAUUUGCCAGCCAUUCCCAACCCCCUUCUCCCUUACCUGCCUUCACUAAAGAACCCAGAAAAGCUAAUUGCUCCCCUUUCAGCCUCUGUUGCAACUAACAACUCUCAGUGGCCUCAGGACACAGCUUUGGCCUUGGGAAUUCUGGGAAAACUUUUACUUCCUGAUUAAAGAUACAUAUGCAGCUAGGCCACCUCCUCCCCCCCUUACUGCCAUAAACACCAAAGUGAUGACUGGAGCUGGAGGAGUUAUUUGAACCAUGACAGAAGGAAGGGCCAAGAGAACCACGAAGAUGCCAGUUGCCACAUUGUUGAGCUGCUGACCCAACACCAGCCAUUGCCUGUCUCUAAACGUCUUAUGAAAUAAAACCAGUUUUGUUUAA